Molecule: ribosomal RNA, 253 nt
Filed under: uncultured bacterium
Lineage: Bacteria
Description: partial 16S ribosomal RNA
Rfam family: Bacterial small subunit ribosomal RNA
Source: RNAcentral
UAUAGAGGGUGCAAACGUUGUUCGGAAUUACUGGGCGUAAAGCGCGUGUAGGCGGCCUAGUGUGUCGGGCGUGAAAUCCCACGGCUCAACCGUGGAAGUGCACUCGAAACUGCAAGGCUGGAGUACUGGAGAGGAUGGUAGAAUGCUCGGUGUAGAGGUGAAAUUCGUAGAUAUCGAGCGGAAUACCGGUGGCGAAGGCGGCCAUCUGGACAGUCACUGACGCUGAGACGCGAAAGCGUGGGGAGCGAACAGG